Molecule: RNA transcript, 3936 nt
Organism: Vitis vinifera (wine grape)
Lineage: Eukaryota; Viridiplantae; Streptophyta; Magnoliopsida; Vitales; Vitaceae
Exons: 7
Source: RefSeq, a predicted model, not a curated record
AAUUCACUCCCGUCAACUGUGAAAAAGUCUGUAUGUCCGUUAAUGUGACUCUUUACCCUUGCAUCUUCUUCACUCUUCCCGUUGAACAAGAGGAAGUUGCAAGACUCUGGAUUAUGAGAUUUAUUCUUUGAGUGUUGGCUGAGAGUGGGAUCAAAACAUUUCUCAAGCACUUUGGAAGCUCUUUUGAACACGAACUUCAGUAACAUUAAUGGCUCCUUCGUCAGGAGUAUAGGUUAUUUCUUAUGGAUGAAAAUUGUCAAUGGCAUGAGCAAAGUCGGAAAAAGGGAGGGGUACUUGAAAGAGAGAUAUGAUUGUGGCAUGUUUGCAAUCAAGUACAUGCAACAUUGGAACGGGGCCACACUAGCACAUUCAAUUGCGGAGGACAAGAUGCAUCUAUAUUGAUUGAGGCUGGUCGUUACCUUGGUCACGAAUGUGGCAAACAAUGAUAGAGAGGUCAUGAAGGCAUGUCGAAUGUGACGUAUGAGGGUUGUGCCACUUUUGUUAGUUGCAAUUUAUGAACUACUAAGUAUAAAAGAUAAUGUCAAAGAGAAGGGAAAGAUAACAUGUCUGUAUAUAAUCAUGGUUUGCUUUAUUUGUUUGUUAAUAGUGUUUGCCACUAUGCACCAAUUUAUGCUAACGCAAUAAUGCACACUGGGACAAUAGUGGAAACAUUUGUCAGGAUAAUAUGGUGGGAUUUUUUGAACUUCUAACCAUCGAUCCCUUUGUCUUUUAUUCCAUGAUGCUCCAUUAACUUUAUUGUUCAUGCUUAUUGUCUUUUGUUUUACAAGAAAGGUUGAGCAUAGCCACAAAUUGGGCUAUGUUAAGUGCAUCAACAAGGCUAAGUGUGAUUAAUAGAGGCCACUUGGAACAGGGAAGGUCACUGAUGUCACCUUACUUGCCUGAGAGUGGGGCUGGUGGUGGCGGCAAUCCAUAAUCAGAAGGCGACAAUUAGAAAACAUAAUUGUUGACAACCAUGAAGACACCAUGACGAAAAUAGGAGCAAUGUUACACUUCAGAAUCGUGGCUGCUGGAGAAAAGGAUGUGAUCAUACGACAUUCUCAUCAUCACUCAGACUUUAUAAUAUAACUGUUCAUAUUUUGCUUUUUGUUUGUAAAUUUAGGCAUGCCCAAUACCAGAGCUCCUCUAAAAACUCUAUAGAUACAUCAUAAUUGGUUUUUUUUGGUUUACCAUUUUUACUUUGGGCACCCAUUGCAUACUUCCGAUAUAUUUGGGUUGUGCCCCCUCUUCUGUUAGGUGGUUUUAGAUUAAUUUAUCAACAACUUAAAAAAAUACAGUGGUAUAUGAAAUUUUGGUUGAGCUAAAGAGGUUACUCCAUGACCUCUUUGCAGGUGUGUAGUUCUAUGAGAGCCAUGCAAUAUGAGAAACUAUUGCCUAGGUUGAAGAACUUGCUUUCUAUUCAGCAUACUAUUUGGCCAAGUACGAUGCGUUUGAUAUUGGCUUUAUAACCACGGACGACUUCACAAAUGUAGACAUAUCAGAAGCAACUUACCCAGCUGUUGCAAAGAGGUUAUAUAAUGAUUGGAUUAAUGGUCCUGCAAUUCCCAUAGUUACUGGUUUGCUUGGAAAGGUUCCUGCUAUGAAGUUUAAUGGUUUCAAUUCCCAGUAACUGGAUUUUAUGCGCACGAGUUGUAGGAAUAUGAUUUACAUUCUUGUAAUUCCAGGGUUGGAAAUCUGGUGCAGUUACUAUCUUAGGUAGGGGUGGGAGUGAUUUGAUAGCCACAUCCAUUGGCGGAGCCUUAGGCUUGCAAGAGAUUCAGGUACGAUCAACUCCUUAGCGCAUGGAAACUGAAAGUCCUGUGGCCAUUGGCAGUCCUUUUUGUAUCUGUACCAUGUUUUGUCUGAAUUGAUUCACAAUGUUCUCUAGUUAUAAUUGAUAAGGAUGAGGCCGACUUUAGUUGUAAAUACUUAAUAUAUUUUUAUGGAGCAAGGGUGCUUCCUACGUUCACCAUAUUGACUUGUGAUCCAAGUAUUUAUUCAUGUGCAUUGCCUAUACUAUAUUGUAAUUAUAUUACAACUUUAAGGUUUUUUUUUUAUGAGGAGUACGAUUGAUUAUUUAUCUAAUAUUUCAGAUUCAGAAGUGCAAUGUUGCUGUGGGGAUAACUAGGUUUCGUUCCCAAUAUACAUGGAAAAUUACCUUUCUACUUGAAUUAGUGUGUAAAUUUGAGCCUUUUCUUUUAUUGUAUUGAUAGUUUAAUCAUACGUGUUAAAUCCCGUAGUUCUCCUGGAUUUUCAAAUUGAUUAAUGGCUCAGUCUGUAUCUUAUUCUGACUUUUCAGUUGAGGAUUUUGAUGUUGGUUUAAGAUGUUUCAUCAAGCUUCUAAUGUGAAUGUACCUCUGGUCGUUCACCUGUUGCUAGGCAAUUUAAUGAUCUAGUAAUGCAUCCGCUUGAACUGUGUAGGACCUAUUAUGUUAUGAGAUUGUGUGGGAAGUUAGCAUUAGGUACCAUGCCUAUUGAAUGUUUUAUCAGUGAAGGAUAUUAUGAUCUUUUUAAUUUGUUGGUUCUUGCUGUAGUUUUGAUAAACAUAAUUGUUGGACCCUGAAUUUUGGAGCCAAACAUUUGACUUGUUCAAUGUGAACAGUAUAUGUGAAGCAGAGAGAACUCUGAUGCUUAAGUCAGUAAUAAUUCAAGGUGAUAGGAAAGUUUUGAUGGAAUAAGGAGUAUAUAUUUUGAUGGAAAGUUUUGAUGGAAUAAGGACUUAUAUUAUAAGUCAAUAUAUAAAUAUCCAGUAUCUACUAGGGACAUUACAUGCAUGGAUCGUAGAGUGAGGCAAACAGCACAAAUUAACACACGCACAUGAAAGUUCAGACUUUCCUAACCUGGCAAAAUUGAAGUUUAGUACAGAGUUUUAAGGUGUGGAUAAUAAGAUUAUGAGCAUUAUAGAAAUGUUGGUGUAUCUAUUAAGUACUGGCUCCUAUAUGUCAUGAACCUAUCAAGCAUAUGAUCAUAUCUUCCCCCAUCAAGCAUAUGACCAUAUGGAAGCAUGGCCACAUUCAUCAUAUCAUGUCUAUAUCCUAUCCUCAUCAAGCAUGAAUAUUUUCAUGCUUAUGUCCCUCUUUGGUUUCUGGUUGAUUGCUAAUGCAAAAUGAGCCAGAUUGUGACGCUACACCAAUUUAGCACCAGCUUGAAUAUGAGUCUACACCAGUUUAGAUCCAGCCUGCUGGUGAAUCUCUACUUGCUUAUGCCACAUAUGAACAACCCUGCCUUGGGGACAUUACAGAACUAUUCUGCAUGCUGUCAUGUAGGAUAAUGGUACAAACCUGGUAUGCACUUAUCAGUGGAGAGCAUAGCAUUUAAUUUCAUCUUUGAGGAUUGAGAGAUUUCGAAGUAUCAGUCAUGAUGGUACUGAUCUUGUCUUGAAAUUCAUGCUCUGUAAAUGGGAAAACUUACACUUCAAAAUUUUGGCAGGCAGAAAAGGCAGAUCGUGAGGGUCACAGCCUAGGUGGAACACCCCAAGAGCAUAGUGCUUCCUGUAGGCCUGAAAUGGCCCCAUCCUAUUCCAGUACCCGAGAGUGGCUGUGUCCUUAUAGCCACAAUGAAGCUUGAUGGGGUAUGCUCCUUUGAAAGAACUGUUCUCCUUCUCAGAUCUGGAACCAGACACCCACAGGAGGGGCCAUUUGCAGUUGUCAUUAACCGGGCUCUUCACAAAAAGAUCAGACACAUGAAGCCCAUUAAUCUGGAGCUGGCAACCACUUAUGCUGAAUGUUCCUUGCAUUUUGGUGGUCCUCUAGAGGCAAGCAUGUUUUUACUUAAAACAGGGGUUUUGACUUGCGAUCCAAGUAUUUAUCCACGUGCAUUGCAUGUACAAUAUUGUAAUUAUAUUACGACUUUAAGGUUAUUUUCUCUUUUGAUGAGGUGUACGAUUGAUUAUUUAGCUGAUAUUUAAGAUUCAGAAGUGGACUGUUGAUGUGGUGAUAA